GGGGAAUAUUGCACAAUGGAGGAAACUCUGAUGCAGCAACGCCGCGUGAGUGAUGAAGGUCUUCGGAUUGUAAAGCUCUGUCUUCUGGGACGAUAAUGACGGUACCAGAGGAGGAAGCCACGGCUAACUACGUGCCAGCAGCCGCGGUAAUACGUAGGUGGCAAGCGUUGUCCGGAUUUACUGGGCGUAAAGGAUGUGUAGGCGGAUAUUUAAGUGAGAUGUGAAAUCCCCGGGCUUAACUUGGGGGCUGCAUUUCAAACUGGAUGUCUAGAGUGCAGGAGAGGAAAGCAGAAUUCCUAGUGUAGCGGUGAAAUGCGUAGAGAUUAGGAAGAACAUCAGUGGCGAAGGCGGCUUUCUGGACUGUAACUGACGCUGAGGCAUGAAAGCGUGGGGAGCAAAC
This 400-nucleotide ribosomal RNA is filed under the name uncultured bacterium. Its description in RNAcentral is "bacterial SSU rRNA". It matches the Rfam family "Bacterial small subunit ribosomal RNA", at positions 356 to 773 of the family's 1533-position model. The record is from RNAcentral.